Molecule: ribosomal RNA, 481 nt
Filed under: uncultured bacterium
Lineage: Bacteria
Description: partial 16S ribosomal RNA
Rfam family: Bacterial small subunit ribosomal RNA
Source: RNAcentral
GAUGAACGCUGGCGGCGUGCUUAACACAUGCAAGUCGAACGAAGCACUUUAUUUGAUUUCCUUCGGGACUGAUUAUUUUGUGACUGAGUGGCGGACGGGUGAGUAACGCGUGGGUAACCUGCCUUGUACAGGGGGAUAACAGUUGGAAACGGCUGCUAAUACCGCAUAAGCGCCCAGCAUCGCAUGAUGCAGUGUGAAAAACUCCGGUGGUAUAAGAUGGACCCGCGUUGGAUUAGCUAGUUGGUGAGGUAACGGCCCACCAAGGCGAUGAUCCAUAGCCGACCUGAGAGGGUGACCGGCCACAUUGGGACUGAGACACGGCCCAAACUCCUACGGGAGGCAGCAGUGGGGAAUAUUGCACAAUGGGCGAAAGCCUGAUGCAGCGACGCCGCGUGAGCGAAGAAGUAUUUCGGUAUGUAAAGCUCUAUCAGCAGGGAAGAUAAUGACGGUACCUGACUAAGAAGCACCGGCUAAAUACGUG